This 1296-nucleotide ribosomal RNA is filed under the name Escherichia coli. Its description in RNAcentral is "partial 23S ribosomal RNA". It matches the Rfam family "Bacterial large subunit ribosomal RNA", at positions 711 to 1990 of the family's 2925-position model. RNAcentral also lists the same sequence under 1 other name. Lineage: Bacteria; Pseudomonadati; Pseudomonadota; Gammaproteobacteria; Enterobacterales; Enterobacteriaceae. The record is from RNAcentral.
AGACCCGAAACCCGGUGAUCUAGCCAUGGGCAGGUUGAAGGUUGGGUAACACUAACUGGAGGACCGAACCGACUAAUGUUGAAAAAUUAGCGGAUGACUUGUGGCUGGGGGUGAAAGGCCAAUCAAACCGGGAGAUAGCUGGUUCUCCCCGAAAGCUAUUUAGGUAGCGCCUCGUGAAUUCAUCUCCGGGGGUAGAGCACUGUUUCGGCAAGGGGGUCAUCCCGACUUACCAACCCGAUGCAAACUGCGAAUACCGGAGAAUGUUAUCACGGGAGACACACGGCGGGUGCUAACGUCCGUCGUGAAGAGGGAAACAACCCAGACCGCCAGCUAAGGUCCCAAAGUCAUGGUUAAGUGGGAAACGAUGUGGGAAGGCCCAGACAGCCAGGAUGUUGGCUUAGAAGCAGCCAUCAUUUAAAGAAAGCGUAAUAGCUCACUGGUCGAGUCGGCCUGCGCGGAAGAUGUAACGGGGCUAAACCAUGCACCGAAGCUGCGGCAGCGACACUGUGUGUUGUUGGGUAGGGGAGCGUUCUGUAAGCCUGUGAAGGUGUGCUGUGAGGCAUGCUGGAGGUAUCAGAAGUGCGAAUGCUGACAUAAGUAACGAUAAAGCGGGUGAAAAGCCCGCUCGCCGGAAGACCAAGGGUUCCUGUCCAACGUUAAUCGGGGCAGGGUGAGUCGACCCCUAAGGCGAGGCCGAAAGGCGUAGUCGAUGGGAAACAGGUUAAUAUUCCUGUACUUGGUGUUACUGCGAAGGGGGGACGGAGAAGGCUAUGUUGGCCGGGCGACGGUUGUCCCGGUUUAAGCGUGUAGGCUGGUUUUCCAGGCAAAUCCGGAAAAUCAAGGCUGAGGCGUGAUGACGAGGCACUACGGUGCUGAAGCAACAAAUGCCCUGCUUCCAGGAAAAGCCUCUAAGCAUCAGGUAACAUCAAAUCGUACCCCAAACCGACACAGGUGGUCAGGUAGAGAAUACCAAGGCGCUUGAGAGAACUCGGGUGAAGGAACUAGGCAAAAUGGUGCCGUAACUUCGGGAGAAGGCACGCUGAUAUGUAGGUGAAGUCCCUCGCGGAUGGAGCUGAAAUCAGUCGAAGAUACCAGCUGGCUGCAACUGUUUAUUAAAAACACAGCACUGUGCAAACACGAAAGUGGACGUAUACGGUGUGACGCCUGCCCGGUGCCGGAAGGUUAAUUGAUGGGGUCAGCGCAAGCGAAGCUCUUGAUCGAAGCCCCGGUAAACGGCGGCCGUAACUAUAACGGUCCUAAGGUAGCGAAAUUCCUUGUCGGGUAAGUUCCGACCUG